This is a non-coding RNA of Vicugna pacos (alpaca), 1448 nucleotides long. The record is from RefSeq and is a predicted model, not a curated record. Lineage: Eukaryota; Metazoa; Chordata; Mammalia; Artiodactyla; Camelidae.
UUUAACUCAGCAUUUCCUAAACUUAAUUGCCAAUGUAACUGUACUUUUUUAAAGAAACACAAUAAAUAUCUCUUCUUCCAAAUUUCCUUAAUAAUGAAGCCUGCUUUCCUGUUUUUAUUUGUUUGUUUGUUUCUGUCUCCUUCCUCCAGGGCAUCCCCAUUUAAUGCUGCUUCUGCAAGACGGCAGCCUCAAACACAACUUUCUAAAUCGACCACAAGGUGGCUCUGCUUGUCUUACAAAAGAAGGCUGUGGGCUCUUUCCUAACGUCUGGCUUGCAGGGCCUUUAAAGAGGAGGGCUUGAGUCUUGUGCCAGACAGGGUAGCCAGGUGUAGGGAAGGCUGGGGUGUUACCUGUGUACACGGGUUAAGUUAGAACUGUUGUCGUCUGACCCAGAUGGUGGAGUUUUCAAAAGAAUGUUGUAAGAAGUGGGGUUUUCUGGCUGUCCCUUCCAUGUUUCCAUUUUGAGGAUACGUUUCCGUGGAGUUCAGGAAACUGGACACCUUUCUUCCAGGUCUUUGAGAACAAAAAGAUGUUGAAGCAGGAAGCCAGAGCUGUUGGCACUGAGCUCUUUAGUGUCCUAAUCUCCAGCUUGGCCCUCAGUGCUGAUGAAUUCAUUCUAAUUAGCAGCAGCAGGAGCAAUUCAGUAGUGCUCCUAGCCUGACUGCACCGUUUCCGAAGAAUUGCUUUUUGCAGGCGUAUGCACUUUUAAUGAACGGGGAAAAAUAAUCGUUGUCCUCAAGGCCAAGAAAGGGAUAUUUCUCACUGCACUGAAAGAGCUUAUAAGGAUUGCACUGCAUCUCUUGAUCAACGAUUUUUUAAAAUGUCCACUGGGGAAAAAAAGAGCAUUGUCAACAACCUCUAUUCCCUUUUUCAACACUGCACAUGAAAAUUCUACUUGCUCCCAUGCUGGAAGAAUAUUUAGUAACUCCAUGUAAAAGAAUGGAAUUCUUUAGGGAUGAAACCAUUUCAGAAGAUAGUCAUGGACAUUGAAUGUAAUGGAGAUUGAGAUAAGAAGAAACAAGAACCAAGGGGAGGAGGGGCACUGACUAUCCAAGAGGAACAAUCCCCUGACGUGACUGAGUCAUUUUUCUGCUGACAGUUGGCUCUAAUGCCAAGGAUAGCUUCAGUAAAAAGUGCCGUGAUGGCCCCGUCUUUGCCCAAUGCCUGUAAACCAAGGGAAUGAACACACUCAGCCCUGCAGGGAGAGAGGAGGACACCAAGAGGGAUCCCACUGCCAUGUGUGAUCUUCAGGUGGGAAAUUGGAGGGGCUACAUCCCUGCAUUCAGGAGGCAAGCCACCUCCAGAGCUCAUUAUUUGGGACUCUCCUUAAAUUAAAGGGUGGAUUUAAUCUAGUGUUUAAAAAUAACUCUUUCACACAUCCUUCAAGCUUGUCUACCUCAGUGUGAUUUUAGAUCCCUUUAUAUGAUUGAAAAUGGAGAUGUAGAGGA